GGCAUGUUUAGAAGAGAUGUUAAAAAGUCGGAAUUGUUUUUAUCUAACGUAAGAUUAUAAAAAAAAAAUGAGUCUUUCAUGUUUUGUUUUUUUUAAAUCAGCGUACGGUAUAAUAUUUAGACUCGUUUGGACUAAUUACGGGUGCUCAAUCCACUACAUAUGUUUUUAAACGACUUACACUUGUAUAUGUUAGCGGUAUGCUCUUUAUGUUACACGUUGUUAGCCAAUUAACAUCUGAAAUCAACCUGAACAUAAAAUCCUAUCCAAUUAUGUAAGAAAUAUAUUGACCACUAUACAAGAGCAAGACAAAAACACAAAACAAAUCAUUAUUUCAAUUGCAAGUUCAACAUACCCU
Molecule: long non-coding RNA, 355 nt
Filed under: Mytilus galloprovincialis (Mediterranean mussel)
Lineage: Eukaryota; Metazoa; Mollusca; Bivalvia; Mytilida; Mytilidae
Source: RNAcentral